ACGCUGGCGGCAGGCCUAACACAUGCAAGUCGAACGGUAACAGGAUAGCUUGCUAUCGCUGACGAGUGGCGGACGGGUGAGUAAUACUUAGGGAUCUGCCCUUGGGUGGGGGAUAACCAUUGGAAACGAUGGCUAAUACCGCAUAAAGUCUACGGACCAAAGGGGGCUUCGGCUCUCACCUGAGGAUGAACCUAAGCGAGAUUAGCUUGUUGGUGAGGUAAAGGCUCACCAAGGCGACGAUCUCUAGCUGUUCUGAGAGGAAGAUCAGCCACACUGGGACUGAGACACGGCCCAGACUCCUACGGGAGGCAGCAGUGGGGAAUAUUGCACAAUGGGGGAAACCCUGAUGCAGCCAUGCCGCGUGUGUGAAGAAGGCCUUAGGGUAGUAAAGCACUUUCAGACGUGAGGAAAGUUUGUUGGUUAAUACCCAACAGAUGUGACGUUAGCGUCAGAAGAAGCACCGGCUAACUCCGUGCCAGCAGCCGCGGUAAUACGGAGGGUGCGAGCGUUAAUCGGAAUUACUGGGCGUAAAGCGCACGCAGGCGGUUAUAUAAGCUAGAUGUGAAAGCCCCGGGCUUAACCUGGGAGAGUCAUUUAGAACUGUAUGACUAGAGUUUUGGAGAGGGGAGUGGAAUUCCAGGUGUAGCGGUGAAAUGCGUAGAUACCUGGAGGAACAUCAGUGGCGAAGGCGGCUCUCUGGCCAAAAACUGACGCUCAUGUGCGAAAGCGUGGGUAGCGAACAGGAUUAGAUACCCUGGUAGUCCACGCCGUAAACGCUGUCUACUAGCUGUGUGCGGAUUCAUUUCUGUGCGUAGCGAAGCUAACGCGAUAAGUAGACCGCCUGGGGAGUACGGCCGCAAGGUUAAAACUCAAAUGAAUUGACGGGGGCCCGCACAA
This 897-nucleotide ribosomal RNA is filed under the name uncultured Glaciecola sp. Its description in RNAcentral is "bacterial SSU rRNA". It matches the Rfam family "Bacterial small subunit ribosomal RNA", at positions 33 to 928 of the family's 1533-position model. Lineage: Bacteria; Pseudomonadati; Pseudomonadota; Gammaproteobacteria; Alteromonadales; Alteromonadaceae. The record is from RNAcentral.